GGUUCCAUGGUGUAAUAAUUAGCACUCCAGACUCUGAAUCUGGCGAUCCGAGUUCAAAUCUCGGUGGAACCU
RNAcentral lists this transfer RNA (72 nucleotides) under Clytia hemisphaerica. Its description in RNAcentral is "tRNA-Gln for anticodon CUG". It matches the Rfam family "tRNA". From Rfam's summary of the family: Transfer RNA (tRNA) molecules are approximately 80 nucleotides in length. The record is from Rfam by way of RNAcentral. Lineage: Eukaryota; Metazoa; Cnidaria; Hydrozoa; Leptothecata; Clytiidae.